This 302-nucleotide ribosomal RNA is filed under the name uncultured bacterium. RNAcentral describes it as "partial 16S ribosomal RNA". It matches the Rfam family "Bacterial small subunit ribosomal RNA", at positions 508 to 809 of the family's 1533-position model. The record is from RNAcentral.
GCAGUAGCCACGGGAAUACGUAGGUGGCAAGCGUUGUCCGGAAUUAUUGGGCGUAAAGCGCGCGCAGGCGGAUAGGUCAGUCUGUCUUAAAAGUUCGGGGCUUAACCCCGUGAUGGGAUGGAAACUGCCAAUCUAGAGUAUCGGAGAGGAAAGUGGAAUUCCUAGUGUAGCGGUGAGAUGCGUAGAUAUUAGGAAGAACACCAGUGGCGAAGGCGACUUUCUGGACGAAAACUGACGCUGGGGCGCGAAAGCCAGGGGAGCGAACGGGAUUAGAUACCCCAGUAGUCCCUGUCUCUUAUACA